This 498-nucleotide ribosomal RNA is filed under the name uncultured bacterium. RNAcentral describes it as "bacterial SSU rRNA". It matches the Rfam family "Bacterial small subunit ribosomal RNA", at positions 903 to 1397 of the family's 1533-position model. The record is from RNAcentral.
AAAUGAAUAGACGGGGGCCCGCACAAGCGGUGGAACAUGUGGUUUAAUUCGACACUACGCGAGGAACCUUACCUAGGCUUGACAUGCUUUUGACAGUCGUAGAAAUACGAUCUUCCUAACUUGUUAGGACAAUUGCACAGGUGCUGCAUGGUUGUCGUCAGCUCGUGUCGUGAGAUGUUGGGUUAAGUCCUUUAACGAGCGCAACCCUUGCCGAUAGUUGCUAUUUGUUUUACAAAGCACUCUAUUGGGACUGCCUGGGAAACCAGGAGGAAGGUGGGGAUGACGUCAAAUCAUCAUGGUCCUUAUGUCUAGGGCUACACACGUGUUACAAUGGUUGGUACAAAAGGAUGCAAAUCUGUAAAGAGGAGCAAAUCCUAAAAGCCAAUCUAAGUUCGGAUUGCGGUCUGCAACUCGACCGCAUGAAGUUGAAAUCGCUAGUAAUCGCGUAUCAGCAACGACGCGGUGAAUACGUUCACGGGCCUUGUACACACCGCCCGU